UUAGUAACUGCGAGUGAAGUGGGAAAAGCUCAAAUUUGAAAUCUGGCGGUUCUUUACCGUCCGAGUUGUAAUCUAGAGAAGUGCUACCUGUGCUGGACCGUGUACAAGUCUCCUGGAAUGGAGCAUCACAGAGGGUGAGAAUCCCGUCUUUGACACGGACUGCCUGUGCGGUUAUGGUGUGCUCUCAAAGAGUCGAGUUGUUUGGGAAUGCAGCUCAAAAUGGGUGGUAAAUGCCAUCUAAAGCUAAAUAUUGGCGAGAGACCGAUAGCGAACAAGUACCGUGAGGGAAAGAUGAAAAGAACUUUGGAAAGAGAGUUAAACAGUACGUGAAAUUGCUGAAAGGGAAACGCUUGAAGUCAGUCACGUUGGCCUAGAAAUCAACCUUGCUUUUGCUUGGUGUACUUUCUGGUCGAUGGGUCAGCAUCAAUUUUGACCACUGGAUAAAGUCUUUGGGAAUGUGGCAUCUUUUGGAUGUGUUAUAGCCCAUUGUCGCAUACAAGUGGUUGGGAUUGAGGAACUCAGCACGCUUGCAAAGGCCGGGUUUCGACCACGUUCGUGCUUAGGAUGCUGGCAUAAUGGCUUUAAUCGACCCGUCUUGAAACACGGACCAAGGAGUCUAACAUGCAUGCGAGUGUUUGGGUGGAAAACCCAUGCGCGUAAUGAAAGUGAAAGUUGAGAUCCCCUCUCAGGGAGGAGCAUUGACGCCCGGACCAGACCUUUUGUGAAGGAUCCGCGGUAGAGCAUGUGUGUUGGGACCCGAAAGAUGGUGAACUAUGCCUGAAUAGGGUGAAGCCAGAGGAAACUCUGGUGGAGGCUCGUAGCGAUUCUGACGUGC
Molecule: ribosomal RNA, 835 nt
Filed under: Inocybe caroticolor
Lineage: Eukaryota; Fungi; Basidiomycota; Agaricomycetes; Agaricales; Inocybaceae
Description: partial large subunit ribosomal RNA
Rfam family: Eukaryotic large subunit ribosomal RNA
Source: RNAcentral